Molecule: ribosomal RNA, 101 nt
Organism: Dromaius novaehollandiae (emu)
Lineage: Eukaryota; Metazoa; Chordata; Aves; Casuariiformes; Dromaiidae
Source: Ensembl
GCCCUAAGCCAUACCACCUUGUGCUGUGAUCCCUUCAGAUCUCACAGGCUAAAGCAGGGUCAGCACUUGGAGGGGAGAUCUCCAAGGAAAACACCAGUGCU